Molecule: ribosomal RNA, 499 nt
Filed under: Staphylococcus pettenkoferi
Lineage: Bacteria; Bacillati; Bacillota; Bacilli; Caryophanales; Staphylococcaceae
Description: bacterial SSU rRNA
Rfam family: Bacterial small subunit ribosomal RNA
Source: RNAcentral
AGGUGGUGCAUGGUUGUCGUCAGCUCGUGUCGUGAGAUGUUGGGUUAAGUCCCGCAACGAGCGCAACCCUUAAGCUUAGUUGCCAUCAUUCAGUUGGGCACUCUAAGUUGACUGCCGGUGAUAAACCGGAGGAAGGUGGGGAUGACGUCAAAUCAUCAUGCCCCUUAUGAUUUGGGCUACACACGUGCUACAAUGGACAAUACAAAGGGCAGCUAAACCGCGAGGUCAAGCAAAUCCCAUAAAGUUGUUCUCAGUUCGGAUUGUAGUCUGCAACUCGACUACAUGAAGCUGGAAUCGCUAGUAAUCGUAGAUCAGCAUGCUACGGUGAAUACGUUCCCGGGUCUUGUACACACCGCCCGUCACACCACGAGAGUUUGUAACACCCGAAGCCGGUGGAGCAACCACUUUGUGGAGCUAGCCGUCGAAGGUGGGACAAAUGAUUGGGGUGAAGUCGUAACAAGGUAGCCGUAUCGGAAGGUGCGGCUGGAUCACCUCCUUU